This 460-nucleotide ribosomal RNA is filed under the name uncultured bacterium. RNAcentral describes it as "partial 16S ribosomal RNA". It matches the Rfam family "Bacterial small subunit ribosomal RNA", at positions 338 to 795 of the family's 1533-position model. The record is from RNAcentral.
CCUACGGGUGGCAGCAGUGAGGUAUAUUGGUCAAUGGGCGGAAGCCUGAACCAGCCAAGUAGCGUGCAGGAUGACGGCCCUACGGGUUGUAAACUGCUUUUAUACGGGAAUAAAGUGCUCUACGUGUAGGGUUUUGUAUGUACCGUAUGAAUAAGGAUCGGCUAACUCCGUGCCAGCAGCCGCGGUAAUACGGAGGAUCCGGGCGUUAUCCGGAUUUAUUGGGUUUAAAGGGAGCGUAGGUUGUUUGUUAAGUGAGCGGUGAAAUGUCGAGGCUCAACCUGGGGGUUGCAGCGGAUACUGGAGGACUAGAGACCGGAUGAAGCAGGCGGAAUGCGUAGUGUAGCGGUGAAAUGCUUAGAUAUUACGAAGAACACCGAUUGCGAAGGCAGCUUGCUGGGCCGGAACUGACACUGAUGCACGAAAGCGUGGGGAUCGAACAGGAUUAGAUACCCUAGUAGUC